CUACGGGUUGCAGCAGUGGGGAAUAUUGGACAAUGGGGGAAACCCUGAUCCAGCAAUGCCGCGUGUGUGAAGAAGGCCUGCGGGUUGUAAAGCACUUUCGGUUGGGAGGACUGCUUCUAGCACUAAUAUUGUUGGAAGUUGACGUUACCUUCAGAAGAAGCAUCGGCUAACUCCGUGCCAGCAGCGCGCGGUAAUACGGAGGGUGCAAGCGUUAAUCGGAAUUACUGGGCGUAAAGCGCGCGUAGGCGGCUAGAUCAGUCGGGUGUGAAAGCCCCGGGCUUAACCUGGGAACUGCAUCCGAUACUGUCUAGCUUGAGUACAGGAGAGGAGAGUGGAAUUCCACAUGUAGCGGUGAAAUGCGUAGAUAUGUGGAGGAACACCAAUGGCGAAGGCAGCUCUCCGGCCUGGUACUGACGCUGAGGUGCGAAAGCGUGGGGAGCAAACAGGAUUAGAUACCCCUGUAGUC
Molecule: ribosomal RNA, 466 nt
Filed under: uncultured bacterium
Lineage: Bacteria
Description: partial 16S ribosomal RNA
Rfam family: Bacterial small subunit ribosomal RNA
Source: RNAcentral